AAGGACAAAGACAGAUGAGUCUCGAACGGGAUGCCCUCUAUUUUCAAGGAUGAAGUUGAAGACCUUGCUAACUGUCCGGAAACAAGCAAUAUUGCAACAUCAUCUGCUCUUGAUCUACGGUGAACGGUGGAAGAUUGUGGGUCGUUCUGUAGGCCGGCAGGAGGGCACUGACAGACGUGGCACCAGCAAGAGUCCUGUGAAAACAAGCUGGUCUGUAAUGAAGGCAUACCGCGAGGGGACUGAAGAUCUGGUUUAAGGAUAUGAUUAUCAGCUGAGACAGAGGGCAGGUCUAAAUAUCAUUGUGCCUAUCCAAAAAUGUCCCCACAGCCCCUAACAAGAAUAUUAAAUAGAGAAAAGUCUAUGAUUA
This is a non-coding RNA of Myodes glareolus (Bank vole), 367 nucleotides long. The record is from RefSeq and is a predicted model, not a curated record. Lineage: Eukaryota; Metazoa; Chordata; Mammalia; Rodentia; Cricetidae.